Molecule: long non-coding RNA, 837 nt
Organism: Cercocebus atys (sooty mangabey)
Lineage: Eukaryota; Metazoa; Chordata; Mammalia; Primates; Cercopithecidae
Exons: 2
Source: RefSeq, a predicted model, not a curated record
CCAUGUUGGCCAAGCUGGUCUCAACUCCUGACCUCAGGUGAUCCACCCGCCUGGGCCUCCCAAAGUGCUCGGAUUACAAACCUGAGCCAAAGCGCCCGGCCACCCUUUUUUUUUUUUUUGUACUCAUAUUAUCUCUAUGCUUUUGCUUUCUGAGUCUUUCUACUUCUGGGUGUGCCUAGACUAAAAGAUAAAGUCCAGGCUCUUCAGUGUGCUGUUGCUCCAUAUGCUUUUCUAACUGAAUCCUCCACCUUUUUACAUCUUUUAUGUAGGAGGAAUUCAUUACAUUUCAAAAGAUUUUUCAGGCCCAGCAGUUCUAGUACUUUAUGUGCAUCUUAAGCAUUAUUUUACAUUCAUCCAACUAGUGAUUAUUUUCUCCACAGUUGUUUAUGCCCUAUUUGAGCACUGUGAGCCACACCAGGCAUGAUGGAGACAAGGAUGGUGGGAGUGUCAUCCGGGGCUUCUCAAGACCUCUCUCCCACCACAGGUGGAAUUAAGAAAUCUGGCAAAAAGUAAGCUGUUCCUUGUGCCUGAGGAGAUGGUGACCCUUUAUUUCAUCCUUAUUUAAACGUCUAUAUUCCCUGCCAUAACAUCUUUUGCCACCUAAAGCUGGAAUUAAGUGUUGUCUUGGAGCUGUUGUACAUUUAAGAAUAAACUUUUGUAAAAAAAAAAAAAAACUUACAGUGGUUCGUCAUCUCUUUAGUUGUUUUCACUAAGUCAUUCCUACCAUAACUGUGAAUUUAAAGUAAAACCAGCUCAGAACCUUGCCAGAGUCUGCUCUUUGGUCUUUGUUCUACCCUAAACUUUGUAUCACCUGAAAUUAAACCAACUCGUUUGAAA